Non-coding RNA from Camellia sinensis, 1687 nucleotides. NCBI's taxonomy places the organism in Eukaryota, Viridiplantae, Streptophyta, Magnoliopsida, Ericales, Theaceae. The record is from RefSeq and is a predicted model, not a curated record.
UGUUUAACUCUUAUAUAUUUUCUCUAACUUGGUAAGUCUUUCAAAAAUAUCUCCUGAGAGAGAGUGUAGAGAAGUUGAGAGAAGAACUAAGAGGGAAGAAGGUCAACAAGGAAGAAGGUUGGGAAAUUGAGAUGGAUUGUAGAGAUUAAGGCUCAAGGUAUGUAUAAGCCACCUUAAAUAACCUCUUUCUAGGACUUGAGUAAGAAUCUCCUUUCAUUUGUGAGAACUAGGGUUUGUAAUUGGGAUUAAGUGUGUGAUAAUUGCUUAAUUGGAAAAGUAUUCUUAUCAUUUAGUUGUUUUGGAGUUAAUUUGAGUUAUAGGGAGGAAUUACAUCUCAUUCCUUCGCUUUUCAUGUUGAACUCACAUGGUUAAACAUAUUUAUUAUUCAUAUCUCAAAUGGAGGAGCUAGAUUAUGGUCUCAUUAAACUUAUGAUUUAUGUUUAUGAUGGUGCUAUGACUUGUAAUCCAUGAUUAUGAUGAUGUUAUACCAUUAUAUUGUGUUGGUUUUCCCAUUUCUUCCCUUUAAGAUGUGUUGAAUUUGAUGAAUUUGUGCCCUAAUUCGGACUGCUUAAAACAGAGGCAGCGACCGCACCUGCAGGGAAGCAUUGCCGCACGUGCAGAAAAUAGGGGAUCUCGAACUGAAGCUACUGGAAUAAAUGCACGUGCGGGGCGCACGUGCGGCCCACCUUCCCGAACGUGCAGCGAAGGGCCACCGCACAUGCGGCCCAUGUGGAAAAAUUCUGUAUGCUCCGUUUCCCUUGUUUGACCCUCUGGGAUUGCUAAAAUCUGUAUUUGACGCUUUUAAAAUGCUUAUAAAUUUAUUAGAGACUGAACGAAUCAGAUAUUGAUUAAAAAGGAAAAGGGAUUAAUUUGUGAGUGCAUGUAUGUAGGUUAUACACCGAAAGGGACUGUUGCUCCACCACUUCACUGUGAGUAAUAGUACUGUAGUGGUAUAUUUCAAUUACUGUUAAUAGUUAUUAUUAACGUUUUGCUAUUUGUGAGUUAACUAUGUCAACUUGUAACAAACAAUCAGAAAAUUUUGUGCAAUAUGAAUUAUGAUAUCCUUGUGAACUUGAGAUCAUUCUGUUCUACCAAAGAUGGACCCGAGGUCGUUCAGUUAUGAAUUACUGAGUGUGGACAGACUUUAAGAGGAGAAAGGUGAGGACAUACCAAUGUCUCACCGACCGUAAUGUGAUUGAACAAAAUUUGAUUCAUGGCCUAUGGCCAAGGGAGGUGGUACAUGUUGAUGUUCCAUUUUUCCCGUACUGUUCUGGACAGUUGUUAAUAUGUUGGGCCCGAGGCCAUUCUGUAUGAUAUGUUGGGCCUAAGGCCGUUAUGGAAAUGUAUACAGAGUAAUCAACCCGGAGGUCGGUCUUAGUCCAGCUUUAGCUGCUUUUCUUUUGUCAACUUCACUGUGUCCAAGCAUUUUAAUGAAGCUUAUGCAUUUUUGUGGAAGUCAUUUCAUAACCCAUAGCUUUGGCCACUAGUCUUUUGUCAAAUGCUAAAUUAUCUAUAACCUGCUUUUUCGAUGUUUUGGUUUUACCCCGGUUUCGGGGAUGGGACUAUAUAUAUAUCUGUUUGUAUAUAACCGCCUCUUAUGUGCAUAUUUAUCAUGUGUUGGACUGUCUGACGAAAUGUUUGUGAUCCUGGUAUAUAAGUAAUAGCUCAAUGGAUGUUGUUUUAUGUU